GGGAAGGUUCAGGCUGGAGAGGUAUUUUGUGAAUCGCCUGUUUAUAGAUGUAGUAGAAGCUGAUGUGGAUGAGCAGUAGGAAGAAAGACCUGAUGAUGGGAACCUCUGGGGACCCCCUUGGAUCCAUUAAAGAGGGACUACACACCUGUUCUUGAUCAUCCACCAUGGCAUCACACAGCAAGAAAGGGACAAUUCACUACAGGGAAAUCAGAAUGAUACUGGGAGAAUGGAUGCUGGAUGGCUGGACCCAACACAUACACACACACCCCUACAUACUUAUGCAUGCAUAUCUACAGGUCAUGGAUCUGCUCUGCCUGUCCUCCAAUGUGUGAAAACAGUUGUUUCUUAUAUUUUGUCUCUUUUUCUAGCUGUUUAAGGCUGGAGCCAGCUAAGGAGCAGGUGCAGCCAAGUGCAGCUGGAAACUUUGGACUACCUGAUGCUUCCCUGGUGCUCAGGAGCUGCUGCGGCUGCCUCCCUCUUUUGAUUCUUUGGCUGCCAUUUUAAAGGGUCACCACCAUCCUUAGAUCCAGGUGUCCUUCUGGGGUCUUAUGAAGAUGAUGACAGCAUGGUGGCCCUCUGUGAUGUCAACUUGGCCCAUGGGCAGUGAGCACCCUUGUCCACCACAGGAGGAAGUGUGGCUUGCUUCCACUGCACUUCUCUUUUCUUACUCAGGCAGCUCUAACCAGUCCCUCACCUUACAUCCUUGCAGGUGAGAAUCAAGUACCAACUUCCGUGUUCUUCCAGGUUUUGGGGACAUGUGUCAAGCUGUCUUCCUCUGGUCUCACAGAAGUCCUUUCACUGGCCUCUCUCUCCUCUUAAAGCAUUU
Vicugna pacos (alpaca) is the source of this 826-nucleotide non-coding RNA. Lineage: Eukaryota; Metazoa; Chordata; Mammalia; Artiodactyla; Camelidae. The record is from RefSeq and is a predicted model, not a curated record.